CCUACGGGAGGCAGCAGUGGGGAAUAUUGGGCAAUGGAGGCAACUCUGACGCAGCAACGCCGCGUGAAUGAUGAAGGUCUUCGGAUUGUAAAGUUCUGUGAUGGGGGAUGAACACAAUGACGGUACCCCAAUAGCAAGCCACGGCUAACGACGGGCCAGCAGCCGCGGUAAUACGUAGGUGGCAAGCGUUAUCCGGAAGGACGGGGCGGAAAGGGGGCGUAGGUGGUUUAGGAAGUUGGCGGUGUAAUUCCGGGGCUCAACCCCGGCGCUACCGCCAAAACUAUUAGACUAGAGUGCAGGAGGGGUAAGUGGAAUUCCUAGUGUAGCGGUGGAAUGCGUAGAUAUUAGGAGGAACAUCAGGGGCGAAGGCGACUUACUGGACUGUAACUGACACUGAGGCACGAAAGCGUGGGGAGCAAACAGGAUUAGAUACCCCUGUAGUC
This 443-nucleotide ribosomal RNA is filed under the name uncultured bacterium. RNAcentral's name for it is "partial 16S ribosomal RNA". It matches the Rfam family "Bacterial small subunit ribosomal RNA", at positions 338 to 795 of the family's 1533-position model. The record is from RNAcentral.